This 199-nucleotide long non-coding RNA is filed under the name Malus domestica (apple). Its description in RNAcentral is "long non-coding RNA (MDOM_LNC004252)". The record is from RNAcentral. Lineage: Eukaryota; Viridiplantae; Streptophyta; Magnoliopsida; Rosales; Rosaceae.
UUUUCUUUCAUCUUCUCUUUUCUUUCAGUUUUUUUUAAUUUUAUUUCAAAAUUUCAAUUUUUAUUUAAAAAUACCAGAAGGUUGAUGUGGUGCUGUUGUGAUAGGAUUUAGUUUUUUAGGGUGAAAGUUGACAAUGUUGAGUUCCGUGAGCUGAAGGGAAGCUCUAAAAAAAAGGUCGUACCCAGUGCACAAGGCUCCC